UCUAGAACAGAAAUAGAAAAAACCCAGGGGUUAACAAUCAUUGCCUCUUUCACCUUCAUUUUGCCCUAGAUUGAAAAAAAUCGAACUCAGCUCCAUUGCGCUGCUACCGCCUUUUCCUCUCCACCGCCGCUGCGCCGCUAGCGCCACUUUGUCUGCCGCCACUUCUUCCUCUCCGCUGCGCUGCUACUGUCUCUCCCUCUCCGCCGUCGGUGCGCAGCUACCGCCACUUCUUCCUCUCUGCCGCUCGACCGCUUCAAUCCGGUUGCUACCGCCUCUUCCUCUCAGCCGCCGCUACCGCCACUUCUUCCUCUCUGCCGCUCCACCACUUCAAUUCAUCCAAAGUCAUAAACAUCUCAUCGAAACCUAGGUACUGAUCUUCUUCCUCUGUGCCGCCCGACCUCUUUUACCAUUUUUUUAAUUUGCUGUCAGCUACAUUUGUGUGAUUGAGAACUCCUUUCAGCCUUACCUUUUUAGAAUUCUGGAAAUAAAGUUGAUUGAAUUGGAGCUUUUUUUAUGGAAGGAUUAUAGGAGAAAUCUAAGCUGCAGGCAAAUUCAAGUUUAUUAAUGUCAAAGAAAGAAAAAUUGAAAGUCCUCGAUGUUUUAAUUCUGAUGAUAUCCAAAAUAAUCCGAUCUGCAUCAGAUUUUGUUCCUGCAUUCUGAAUUGUUAGGCAUAGAGUAAAUGUAGUAUGCAUACUUAAUCAUUGGUUUUGGAAAGCAGAAAAGGAGAUUCAUAGAAAAGUUAAAGCAACAGAAUGCACUCUUACCAUUAGUUAUGCUGCUACUCUUCCAUUAGUUAAAAAAUAUGAAUGCCUGAUUAGUAAAUCAUAUGGUUGACAGGUUGAGUGGUUUGUGAACACAGCUUCUAAAAUGGUCCAUCAAGAAGAAAUUUAAGUUGAUGAAAACUUGUACAAGUUGAUUAUACCAUACUCUAAUAAUUUAUAUGGUUCUACUGUUUUUAAAUGUCUCACUAAGUUUAAGCAUUCUAUCUCAUUCCUGCUAAUCUAUUUAGAAAUAGUUUCAUCUACUAGUUUAAUCUAUAACGAGUUCAUUCUUGCAUAAUCUAUUUAGAAAUAGUUUUCAAUGGUGAUUAGUUAAUAUCCACAUGUGUGCCCUCAUUUAUAUUUUUUUACCAACUAUAUUACUACAGCUUUUAAACCUUCAAUUAGUGCAGUCUAUCCACCGGAAAAGCCUUCAACUAGUGCAGUCCAUCCACUGGUACGUGUUUGUUGAAAUUUGCACUUUAUGAUCAUGCUAAGGAUCCUAUAAGCCCAUGUACUUUUGUAGAUUAACUUCAAGAAUAUUUUCUUAACUUUUGUAUCUUUAUUGUUUGGACUUUUGAAGAUAUCUUCUCGACACCAUUUAUAUGGAAAAUAGACAGCAACAAUGAUCCUCAGGUUGUGAAUGUUAGUUUAUUCUAUGAGGUUAGAGUGCAACGAUGUUUCCAUUACCUUUUUCCUAGUACUACUGUCAGUAGUAAGUCCAUGCCAACCAACUCAAAUUAUAUUCUCAAUUCAGCAGGCUAAUACUCCCGCUUUCAUUAUUAAUAUUAUUUUAGUUGCUUCAACAUAGUGGUUUAGUUUUCUACUGGAAUUUAAAAAACUUGCACAGAAUCUGCAGAAGGUGAAAUAUCUAAUUAUCCAACCAUUUGAGUCAUCCAUCAAAUCUAAUACUAUGAUUCUUCUAGAAAUGUAAUAGUAGUCUGCAAACUGCCCUUUAUGCUAGGUUGAUCAUUCAUGUAUAAAUGUUGUUGGCAGCUUUAUUCAGCAUGGGCAAUUAUAAUUAUUCAAUUAUACUUGCAGACUGAGCAGGGGCACAAGAAGACAAUAAAUUGAUUUUGUAUUCUUAGAAUAGAAUGAAUGUUAAUUAUACUUUUUAUCUCUCAUUUGACUUAGAUGCUGUUGUUUUAUUUGAUUAUAGGGCAUUUACUUUUUACCAAAAGGAACAAAGCUAGGAGGUUUGGAGCUUAGAGCUCAAGUGAAGAUUUUAGCUGCCAAGUUUAUUCAAACAAGAUCAUCAAUGAUCUUUAUUAAUGACGUUUGUGGAGGUAGGAGGUGAUGAAGCAGCUCUUGAUGACGUCCCACAAGUCAAGCCACACUUCUUACGGUUCUGCAGGGUGAUUUACCCAUGUAUCACAAACUUGAUACAAUGUAUUUCUUUUGAACGUCUUACUUUUCAUACUUUUGUGGCUUGUUUUAACUACUUAAUUUUAGUGAUGGAAAUUCCAUCACGAAAUUUUUUUAGUUACAAGGUUUUUAA
This is a long non-coding RNA of Salvia splendens (bonfire salvia), 2256 nucleotides long. RefSeq lists it as uncharacterized. The record is from RefSeq and is a predicted model, not a curated record. The transcript is spliced from 2 exons. NCBI's taxonomy places the organism in Eukaryota, Viridiplantae, Streptophyta, Magnoliopsida, Lamiales, Lamiaceae.